This 448-nucleotide ribosomal RNA is filed under the name uncultured bacterium. RNAcentral's name for it is "bacterial SSU rRNA". It matches the Rfam family "Bacterial small subunit ribosomal RNA", at positions 331 to 793 of the family's 1533-position model. The record is from RNAcentral.
CCAGACUCCUACGGGAGGCAGCAGUGGGGAAUAUUGCGCAAUGGGGGAAACCCUGACGCAGCAACGCCGCGUGAGUGAGGAAGUAUCUCGGUAUGUAAAGCUCUAUCAGCAGGGAAGAAAGAAAUGACGGUACCUGACUAAGAAGCCCCGGCUAACUACGUGCCAGCAGCCGCGGUAAUACGUAGGGGGCAAGCGUUAUCCGGAUUUACUGGGUGUAAAGGGAGCGUAGACGGCGAUGCAAGUCUGAAGUGAAAGGCGGGGGCCCAACCCCCGGACUGCUUUGGAAACUGUAUGGCUGGAGUGCAGGAGAGGUAAGUGGAAUUCCUAGUGUAGCGGUGAAAUGCGUAGAUAUUAGGAGGAACACCAGUGGCGAAGGCGGCUUACUGGACUGUAACUGACGUUGAGGCUCGAAAGCGUGGGGAGCAAACAGGAUUAGAUACCCCGGUAC